Molecule: ribosomal RNA, 892 nt
Filed under: Clinostomum complanatum
Lineage: Eukaryota; Metazoa; Platyhelminthes; Trematoda; Strigeidida; Clinostomidae
Description: SSU rRNA
Rfam family: Eukaryotic small subunit ribosomal RNA
Source: RNAcentral
UGGGUUGUGCGUUCACGCGCCUUUACUUGUUUAUCAGCCUUGGUAAAUGCCCUGGCUGGUGUUCAAUUUGGUGUAGUGGGCGUGCUGCCUUUCAGCCGUGUCUGUGUAAACGGGUGCUGACUGGGUUGAUGAGCUUGUCUUGUUAACCUGUUGGCAUGCUUCUAGAUGCCCUUUACCGGGUGUCGGGAGCGGACGGCAUCUUUACUUUGAACAAAUUUGAGUGCUCAAAGCAGGCCUGUGGGCCUGAAAAUUCUUGCAUGGAAUAAUGGAAUAGGACUUCGGUUCUAUUUUGUUGGUUUUCGGAUCCGAAGUAAUGGUUAAGAGGGACAGACGGGGGCAUUUGUAUGGCGGUGUGAGAGGUGAAAUUCUGGGAUCGCCGCCAGACAAACUACAGCGAAAGCAUUUGCCAAGAAAUGUUUUCAUUGAUCAGGAGCGAAAGUCAGAGUUUCGAAGACGAUCAGAUACCGUCGUAGUUCUGACCAUAAACGAUGCCAACUGACGAUCCGCGGGCAGCACUUAUAUUGGCUCCGCGGGCAGUCCCCGGGAAACCUUUAAGUCUUUGGGCUCCGGGGGAAGUAUGGUUGCAAAGCUGAAACUUAAAGGAAUUGACGGAAGGGCACCACCAGGAGUGGAGCCUGCGGCCUAAUUCGACUCAACACGGGAAAACUCACCCGGCCCGGACACUGUGAGGAUUGACAGAUUGAGAGCUCUUUCUUGAUUCGGUGGUUGGUGGUGCAUGGCCGUUCUUAGUUGGUGGAGCGAUUUGUCUGGUUAAUUCCGAUAACGAACGAGACUUUGACCUACUAAAUAGUACGCUCGUCCUCUGUGCGCGUAUAGACUUGCGCUUGCAUGGCUUGUAAAUGAUGUGUCGUGGGUCAGCGAGUACGAUGCG